Molecule: ribosomal RNA, 327 nt
Filed under: uncultured eukaryote
Lineage: Eukaryota
Description: partial 18S ribosomal RNA
Rfam family: Eukaryotic small subunit ribosomal RNA
Source: RNAcentral
CCCUUAGAUGUUCUGGGCCGCACACGCGCUACACUGAAGGAGGCAGCGUGUACUCCUGGAUCGAAAGAUUUGGGUAACCCGCGAAUCUCCUUCGUGCUAGGGAUUGAGGUUUGCAAUUAUCCUUCAUGAACGAGGAAUUCCCAGUAAGUGCAAGUCAUAAGCUUGCACUGACUACGUCCCUGCCCUUUGUACACACCGCCCGUCGCUACUACCGAUUGAAUGAUUUAGUGAGGACUUCGGACUGGGACCGAUGCGGCUUUCCGGCUGCGUCGGUAUUCUGGAAAGAUGUCCAAACUGUAUCAUUUAGAGGAAGUAAAAGUCGUAACA